GUCUCUUUGUACGAUUAAAAAUGGAGAGUUGGGCCUGCUCGGUGAAGAAAUUUUUAACAGCUGCGGUAUUUUAACUGUACUAAGGUAGCAUAAUAAUUUGCCUUAUAAAUUGAGGCUAGUAUGAAAGGUUUGACGAAGGUUUACCUGUCUCUUUUUUAUUUAAUAGAAAUUAAUUUUUUAGUGAAAAAGCUUAAAUUCUUCAAAGGGACGAGAAGACCCUAAUGAGCUUAAAUUUUAUUUUAUUAUAUAUAUUUUAUAGUAAAAAAGAAGUUUUAGUUGGGGUGAUUAAGGAAUAAAAAACGAAUGAUGUAACUUCCUUAAAUAUAAAAUUGUUAAAUUAAGUAACCAAUUUAUAUUGCUUAUAAUAGAGUUACCAUAGGGAUAACAGCGUAAUUUAUUUAGAGAGCUCAUAUCAAAAAAUAAGAUUGCGACCUCGAUGUUGGAUUAAAGUAACCUUAAGGUGCAGUAGCUUUAGGUGGUGAAUCUGUUCGAUUUUUAAAACUUUACGUGAUCUGAGUUCAGACCGGAAUCACUAGUGCGGCCGCCUGCAGGUCGACCAUAUGGGAGAGCUCCCAACGCGUGGAGCA
This 587-nucleotide ribosomal RNA is filed under the name Sepia officinalis (common cuttlefish). Its description in RNAcentral is "partial 16S rRNA". It matches the Rfam family "Bacterial large subunit ribosomal RNA", at positions 1825 to 2628 of the family's 2925-position model. Lineage: Eukaryota; Metazoa; Mollusca; Cephalopoda; Sepiida; Sepiidae. The record is from RNAcentral.